This is a long non-coding RNA of Vanessa atalanta (red admiral), 311 nucleotides long. RefSeq lists it as uncharacterized. The transcript has 3 exons. Lineage: Eukaryota; Metazoa; Arthropoda; Insecta; Lepidoptera; Nymphalidae. The record is from RefSeq and is a predicted model, not a curated record.
AGUAUUUAAAGGACUGAUGUAUGUGUGAAAGUUUUAUCAGUGAAAUUCGAAGAUGAGGGGAGAAACGCUCCUUCCUUUGUACCGGACGAAAAAGCCAGUAAAGAUGAGAGAUUUUAAACGGGCAUACAUGAGACCGAAUACCCAAUUACAUCAACACCUUUACUCCACUUUCAAAGAAAAGAAAGAUUCCGUUUCAGUAAAGAUGCAGUUGUCAUUAGGUCAGCUCGCAGGAAGCUUACUGAAUAUCUCACAUACAUCACAGGAACCACGAGAGAUCUAUAAAACUUCGAACGAAAACGACAUUUGAUAUA